RNAcentral lists this ribosomal RNA (1306 nucleotides) under uncultured Glomeromycotina. Its description in RNAcentral is "eukaryotic LSU rRNA". The stretch from base 527 to 1306 matches the Rfam family "Eukaryotic large subunit ribosomal RNA", at positions 1 to 649 of the family's 3401-position model. Lineage: Eukaryota; Fungi; Glomeromycota. The record is from RNAcentral.
AAGUUGUAACAAGGUUUCCGUAGGUGAACCUGCGGAAGGAUCAUUAACAAAUCCGAUAAUGUGGAAGAGGGGAGACCCGAUUUUACAAUAUUAAACCGCCGGGCGGUCUCUGAGACUGGCUGGCUGGUAUAUCUAUGCGUGUAAUGUUGACAGUGUGUGAGUGAUUUAAUUAUUGACAACUUUUAACAAUGGAUCUCUAGGCUCUUGCAGCGAUGAAGAACGCAGCAAAGUGCGAAAAGUGUUGCGAUUUGCACGAAUCUGUGAGUCAUCUAAUUUUUGAACGCGAAUGGCACUGUUACGCAAGUAGCAGUAUGUCUGUUUGAGAAUCGCAAAACAAGAUCAACUCUAGUUGAGAGUUGGGAUUGGCCUCAUGUACCUUUGGGUGUAUUUAGCUUGAAUGCAUCGAGUUGAUGAGCUCCCCAAUGCGGCUCAAUGUGUGCUAGCGAGACAGUCGUCCCGAUCUCACAUUUCCGCCGCGUUGCAGAGUUCUACGCACAACCCGCCAACAUAUAUUUAUCAACAAAUACGAUCUCAAAUCAGGCAAGAUUACCCGCUGAACUUAAGCAUAUCAAUAAGCGGAGGAAAAGAAACUAACAAGGAUUCCCUCAGUAACGGCGAGUGAAGCGGGAAGAGCUCAAAUUUAAAAUCUGGCGUAAAAGCCCGAAUUGUAGUCUAAAGAGGCGUUAUCGGACACGAGUCUGCCGUACAAGUUCCCUGGAAUAGGACAUCACAGAGGGUGAGAAUCCCGUCUGGACGGUAGGCGAGUGGCCAUAUGAGACGUUCUCAAAGAGUCGAGUUGUUUGGGAUUGCAGCUCAAAAUGGGAGGUAAAUUUCUUCUAAGGCUAAAUAACGGCAAGAGACCGAUAGCAAACAAGUACCGUGAGGGAAAGAUGAAAAGCACCUUGAAAAGGGAGUUAAAAGCGCGUGAAAUUGUUAAAAGGGAAACGAUUGAAGCCAGUAGGACUAUGGAGAGUUCAACGGUACCCGCUGAGCAUUGCCGCGAUGAGAGUGUCUAAGGCACCUCUAGUGGUGUGCGCAGGUGGACUGCCGUGCAUUCUUUCCAUGGUUAGUCAGUGUCAAUUUGGGUUAUCGGAAAAGGACUUGGGGAAGGUGGCCAAUGCUUCGGUGUCGGCUUUAUAGACCCUCGUAGAUACGAUGACCUGGAUUGGAAUCGACAACAGCUAACAGGGACGCAAUAUCUACGGUUGUGGACGUCUGAGAAUCAGUCGAGUCUUGGACGGCAUCUAACCGGGAGAGGGUGUCUUGGAUGCUGCGGUGAGUACUGACGAAAUGGCUUUAAACGACC